CAAUAGCGUAUAUUAAAGUUGUUGCGGUUAAAAAGCUCGUAGUUGGAUUUCUGCCGAGGACGUCCGGUCCACCCUCUGGGUGUGUACAUGGCACGGCCUGGGCAUCUUCUUGGGGUACGUAUCUGCACUUGACUGUGUGGUGCGGAAUCCAGGACUUUUACUUUGAGGAAAUUAGAGUGUUUCAAGCAGGCACGCGCCUUGAAUACAUUAGCAUGGAAUAAUAAGAUAGGACCUCGGUUCUAUUUUGUUGGUUUCUAGAGCUGAGGUAAUGAUUAAUAGGGAUAGUUGGGGGCAUUCGUAUUUAACUGUCAGAGGUGAAAUUCUUGGAUUUGUUAAAGACGGACUUCUGCGAAAGCAUUUGCCAAGGAUGUUUUCGUUAA
This 380-nucleotide ribosomal RNA is filed under the name uncultured eukaryote. Its description in RNAcentral is "partial 18S ribosomal RNA". It matches the Rfam family "Eukaryotic small subunit ribosomal RNA", at positions 592 to 976 of the family's 1831-position model. The record is from RNAcentral.